UGGAGUCCUUUCAUGCUAAAUUGGAUGAAGGCAGAAGCACUGGAGCUGAGCGGAGUGGAGAUGUCACAGCGCUCUCCGGCCUGUGUGCGGAGGCCAGACGCUUCAGCUCCAAGAGGAGAGAAAGAUGAAUGAGUCCGGGUGCCGUGGAAUCCAGUGGCGGUGGAGAUAAGCUGUGUUACGUGUGGAAGAGGAACCUUUUUUCCCUCGACUCUGCUGCUGCGAUAGUGAGGAGCACCUGCACAUAGAUGAGAGGAGGGCGCCUCCCUAAGAUCCCUCAGAGCGGUAAAACAUCUGCUCGGCGUCUGGAGUUUCCGCGGAGGAAAAAUCAGGGACAACCACCCUGCAGAGGACCACCACUGUGUCCCUAAAAGGCCGUGGUUUGAAGAUGUCCUGGCUAAAUGUGGGGAGAUUUACACAGCCGUUAAAAUGAUGAAGAGUUGAGAGCAAAGUGCACGAGGACAACAGGAAGAGUCGCUAGUUCAACAUGUUCCACCUCCAAGAUGGUCACAU
Gasterosteus aculeatus aculeatus (three-spined stickleback) is the source of this 510-nucleotide long non-coding RNA. The record is from Ensembl. Lineage: Eukaryota; Metazoa; Chordata; Actinopteri; Perciformes; Gasterosteidae.